GACGAACGCUGGCGGCGUGCUUAACACAUGCAAGUCGAACGGAAAGGCCCUGCUUUUGUGGGGUGCCCGAGUGGCGAACGGGUGAGUAACACGUGAGUAACCUGCUCUUGACUUUGGGAUAACUUCAGGAAACUGGGGCUAAUACCGUACAGGAUCUCCCGCUGCAUGGUGGGGGUUGGAAAGUCUCGGCGGUUGGGGCUGGAUUCGCGGCUUACCAGCUAGUUGGUUGGGUAGUGGCUUACCAAGGCAUUGACGGGUAGCCGGCCUGAGAGGGUGACCGGCGACAAUAGGACUGAGGGACGGCGCAGAGGGCAACGGGAGGCAACGGGGGGGAAUAUUGCACAGUGGGCGGGAGCGUGAUGCAGCAGCGCCGCGUGCGGGAUGACGGCCUUCGGGUUGUGAACCGCUUUCGCCUGUGACGAAGCGUGAGUGACGGUAAUGGGUAAAGAAGCACCGGCUAACUACGUG
This 468-nucleotide ribosomal RNA is filed under the name uncultured bacterium. RNAcentral describes it as "partial 16S ribosomal RNA". It matches the Rfam family "Bacterial small subunit ribosomal RNA", at positions 28 to 507 of the family's 1533-position model. The record is from RNAcentral.